CCCAAGCAGGCUCCGCGCUGUCAGCACAGAGCCCAAGCCAGGGCUUGAUCUCACGAACUGUGAGAUGAUGACCUAAGCCGAAAUCAAGAGUCAGACACAUAACUGACUGGGCCACCCAGGCACCAUGUGAGCAAUUUCAAACAGUGUCUGAUAAAAUAUCCCUCCCCGCAAAAAUAGUGUUGUUAUUCUAAGUUCUCAACAGUUGGCAUAAUGGCUGUUGAGUUUUAAUAAAAUAUAUAUAGACUUUUUGGCAUAUUUUUAUUACCUAUCCUUUCCUAAACAUUGUAUUCUCUGUGAAAGGUCACUUGGAGAACUCCCAGUAGGCAGUUGGGCCCCCCACCCCGCCCACUGAACACAUGCUUACCCAGCCACACGGUUUAUUUCGGGAGUACAUUCAUCAUAAUGGUCGGGAAGUAUCCAAGCUCACUUAGGGUGCUGUCCCUGUCUCCAACACCCCCCACCGAGGUGUGACAUAUUCCUCUUUUUAAAAAUAGUAUAUCAAUUUAGUGGAAUAUGAUCAACAAGAAUAAGGCAGAUCUAUAUAUAACGAUACAAAAAUAACCUCCAAUAUACAGCGUUCAGCGAAAUAAGACUAUACAGAACACUGAAAAAUAUUUGAAAAAGUGACAUGUAUGUACGUAUGUAUGUUUUAUACAUGAAUAGAAUCUCUCAAAGGACAAAUAAGAAAUGCUAGAUUCAGAAAGAACAGUAGGGGCCUCUGGGUGGCUCGAUCGGUUAAGCUCCUGACUCUUGAUCUCAGCUCAGGUCUUGAUCUCAGUGUCCUGAGUUCAAGCCCCAUGUUGGGCUCCAUGCUGGGCAUGGAAUCUACUCCCAGUGUGGAGCGUACCUAAAACAAAACAAAACAGCAACAACAACAAAACAAGAUGAAUGGUAGUACAGUGAUCUUAAAGACAAAGACACAUACUUGAGCUACCUCAAUUCUGUCAUCCGCGUGACUGCUUGGCGAUUUCGUGGAUGUUAAGAAUUUAGCCCAGCCGAGGCCGAGGGUGAAUGGGAAGGUGUAACAUUUUUAGUUGGUAGUGCAAAUGUUAGUUCAUACAUGAAAUGUUUCACGGAGUCCAAGCGCUGUUUUUCACAGUGGCAUUCGUUUCUCUUUCUCAGUUGUUAAUGGUUCAUUUUAAAGCUAACGAACUCAUCAAGAGGGUAAUGGCUAUUACCGAUUAUUAUGUGAUUCUUAGAUGAAUAACUUGGCCGCAUAGAGAGGGGAGUUUUAAAAACCGAUUUGCUCUGGGUGUCUGAUCCACUGCAUGCCUGACUUUUAAUCAGGACAUAUGUUUUCUACAAAGGACAGGGCUGUACUUGGCCAUGCACUUGCCCAAGAAGGCAGUGCCUCCUCACGUAAUUCCUGGUGGGUCCUUCCUAAUCCCCUCCCCUGGUGAGCCUUGCAUCCUAGAAUUACAAAGGACCUCUCUCCAUUGGCUUUUUGGGACUUCAUGAUGGACUGAGGCAUGAGCCAAAUGGGUUUCGGCUGUGCCAAUACAGUGCAACCCCCCCCCCCCCACCGCCACGCUGGCCUUCUUCGGGGGUCAGGAAGGAGCAUGUGCAACCAAAGAUCCCCAGCUGAUCACUUUCUGUUUUGAGCGACAGCCUCCCAUCUACCCCGGGGUGGGGGGGCCCACACAAAUACGAUGUCGUAUGUGUGCCCUUUUGUGCAAAACCUUGGGAAGCACGGCUUGGGGGGCAAAGACAGUGCCAUUCUUGGCCGUUUGGGAGAAAUGGAUCUGUUUUGUGCAGAUAAGAAAACGGUGGUUUGGCGUGUUUCGUUGCCUGGUGAAAUUACCCGGUGGUUCUGUCGCUUCCAGAUCAAUCUGAGUGUGAGCCAUCGGCAACCCGUGCACAGCGUGUGGCCGGCUGAAAAUGCAUCGUCUCUCGACGUGAAGCUCAGCUAUUUUUCCCCAGCUUGGGUUGUUGUGUUGUUUUCUGCUUCCGCCUACAGCCUCUUCACGUCCUCUCGGGGACGUGCUCGGUGACAUAGCACAGCUGCACACGCGGCCGUUCUUUUUCUUCCCGAAAUGAGGGGAAGGCUCUGUGGCUCCAGUGCCCUGUGAUGCAGGCCGUCCAAGAGAUGUCACAGUACGACGGUCGGGACCCCAGUUUCUGCGGAGAUGGCACCACCCGUGCCUGAGGGUGAUGGUGACAGCUUACAGUAGGUGUCCGAUUGUGACACAUGAGUGAAAUGGAAGUCACCAUUCCUUUCGGGGGGAUUUACAAGCUGUCGAUUGAACCAUCCGGGAUUCAUUCACAUUCUGCUGAGGUUUCGUGUUCUCUUCCUACAGGUAAUGAAUGAGGUGCGGGCAGCAUAGAGGGGUCGAAGCCAGAGCACAAUCCGUGGUCGGUAAAGUGCGUUCGGUCAACAAAUAUUUACGGGAGAUCUCUGUGUCGGGCGCUGAGCCGUGUGCUGGGGUGCUUUACUCGGCAAGAUGCUCAGCAUGGUCACGAAUUCUGUCAUUGUGGCAAAUGUGCUCACAUAAGUUUGUUCUGUCGACGGCAGUGAGCUCAAGGAUUUAAAAAAUCCACAGUACGACCCACAGACCUUCAUGUCUUGCAGGCGGACCAGCUGCGCCCAGGGCGUGGGGACAGGCUGGAUGCGGGAUGCACCAAACUACCGAGCCCACCAAGGAUAGUGGCCCACUGCCCCUGGAGUUUUGUGGAAUGGCAGGAAGUUGGAGCUGAAAGUGGCCUGACGUUCACGUCCUCCGACGGCCUCAUCUGCGACAUGGAGAAGGAGGCGACGCGUGUUUGCAUCUCGCUUGCGGGAGCCUCGGUUAAUCCGUAAACCCCUCUGAGACAGGAAAUGUGAUCCGAGGUCAGCUCUGUUGUCCAAACGAGUAGGUGGGGAGGCAGGCUUCAAACCCGGUUCUCAGGCUGACUCUGAAACCCACACUCUUGGUAGCACAUGGCACCCCCUCCCCCCGGGGCUUUGUCUGGCAGAGGUCAAGCCGUGCUGAAAGUAUGCUGACCCCCAUCUAAGUCUUUUUUAGGUCAACUCUCAUUGUAAAUGUUUUCUCUUUGAUUUUGCAACCCUCGGCAAUUAGUUACCAGGGCUGCAAAGGGAAGAUAAGGUCGCAAGAGAGGAACCUCCCAUCUGGCCCUAGUGAACCACGGGCAAUUUCCGAGUGGCUCCCGGGCUGUCAAAUGCAGUGACCCCACGAGGCGAACACUGAGGCCACACCGUAGAUGGAGAAACUGAGGUGGCUCCAAAUCAGCUUUCUGCUGCUGCUUCGGGAUCUGAUACCAGCUUGGACGGUGGCCAUGUCCCUCUGGGAAGCCAGCUGUCAACUGCUGAGGCCAUUGGUGGACAGAUCUACAGACGAGUGUGAGGAACAAGUUCUACUGUUGGCAACGACCCACCCGUGUGUGACAGCAGAGCCAUCUUAGAAGGAGACCCUCCCACCCCAGUGAAGCAUUCAGAGGACUGUAGCCUCUGCUGACAUUUUAACGACAAUCUCAGGAGAGACACUAAACUGGAACCAUCCAGCUAAUUCACUCUUGGAUUCCUGACCCACAGAAACUGCAACAUAAGAAAUGCCAUUGCUGUUUUAAGCGGCUAAGCGUAGGCUAAUUUGUUACACAGCAGCAGAUGCCUAAUACAUCCACCAUAGGUCACAGGGACUUGGGAGUCAGUCCGGACUCAGGUACAGGUCACACUUCCCAGAGUUUUCAUCCAACACUGCUGCCUAUCUGCCUGUUUCUCCCCGUGCUGCCUCUGUUGACGUGCAGGCUCUAACGGGGGCACUUGGUCCCUUACGUGCCUGCGACUUGCUUCAUGGCGGGAGUCCAGGCUCGGAGCUUCACUUCACACUGGCGCGGUGUGGAAGCUGGAAUACUCCCUCACGACGGCCCUCGGACUGUGAAUAGACACGAAGGGCGAUGCUGAGUCAGGCAGCAGGCUGGCAGGAGGGCACACGUCAGCGGGCCGGCUUCCAGAGCCCCGGCUUGCCGCGCUCCCAGCCGCCUCCUCCUGAAGCUUCACCUCCCAUGGUGAUUCCGCAUGGAGGCCACCUCCGAUGCACACAGAACCUGGUCCCACAGGCACAUACGAGAGACCGAGAACUCUGAAUUUCAAACCAGAGAAGUCCGGGGCUGCCACGUUUGGCCCCGACUCAGCAGAGCCACCCUAUACUAGAAACCCUACUCGAAGAGCUUGGAGCACACAGUGCUUGGCACAUAUCCAGCCAACGAGUAACUGAGGGGCCGCGCUCUGACACCCUCUGCCCUGUUCAGAGAACCUCGGGGAGGGGAUGGCACCGUGGGGCUCACACUUCCAGAGGGACAUGGGAACGUUGGAGCAGGCAUGGGCGUGAAUGGUGAGGCUGGUGACACGUGAGGGCUCUCACUCUGCAGGGGAGGCCCGCACGCACGUCGUAGUCUGGAAAUCGUCCACGGGCCCUCUUGUGCCCACUCAGGAUCUAAGGUCUGCGAAGGGCGGGAGGGUCUUUGUGAGACACCUGUCAUGAAGAAAGAUGUGUCAUCGAUGCUGAGGCACAACCACGGCCCUCGGGAGGAGAUGAGCUGCCUGGUCCAGGAGUCGCCCGGUCCCGGCCAGAUGGGAGGGAUGAGGGUAGGAAGACCAGUCGGUGGACUAGUCCGGUCGGUGGACCACACUCCACGAAGUCCUUUGGAGGCUGCAGUCUUGAGUGUCCCCCAUGAGGAACAUCGAUGGGCUGGGUGCAGGGAAGUCCUGCCCUCGGAUGUCCUGCCCAGGGCCUCCUGGUGUGUGGCCUGCCUAUGCCUGAUACCAAUGGCGUGUUGGCCUUGACCGACGGUCCCUGGUUCUUCAGUGCUUUUGCAGACAGCAGGGAACACACAUGUCCGCGCGGAAGAGUGGGGAACCGUUUUCUGACGUGUCACGGCCAGGAGUUGGCAGUUACCCACUUUCAGGAGCAGCGACGGUGUCCCCACCUGCGGGGAUGGUGAGGCGCAUCCAAUCCCGGGGCUCUGAUCAGGUGAGAAGUCCAAUGAAACCCAAACGUCCUCUGGACAAGGCUGCUCCGUGAAAUAGAGCUGCCCCUCAGUGAGUCUGGCUGUCUCUCCGGGCCCCUCGCCAAGCCUCAGAAGCACCUUAACUCGAAGCCCUGCUGAUUCAAAGCACCGCCUUCUGUUCUGGGCAAGCCUUGGCCAGGAAAAGUCAGCUUGCCGGGACCACGCCUAAACAAAGGAGCCAAAGAUACACCCAAAAUCGAAGCCACAUCCCGUGUUCUCCAAAGAUGAUGGCUUUUCUGUUCCCUGCAGCUGAUUACGAGGGCCCCUCACCGGACAACGGAUCUCUCUGGGCCACCCAGCCACGCAGGGGAUAAGACAGCUUCUGAAAUACAGAAUAUUUUUGGAGCUCUGAUCCCGACUCCCACUAGACCGCCUCCUCCUCGGAUUCUCGGUGGCUCAUCACAUCCCUCCGUCUGUGACCAGAAACGGGCGGGGGGGGGGGGGAACGAGUAGACAAGAAGGCCGUCGCCGACCAGGCCCACGGCUUCCCAGAGGGAAAGCGGUUGGAAGCACAGCGCUUUGCGUGUCAGCCGUCGCAGAGCAGGGGCCGAGGCAGGCGAUGGAGGAAGACGGGAGGUGAAGCUGGCAUCAGAGCCUUCUCUGGCGGAGCGAUUCCCGAAGACACUGCUGAUGAACCGCAGCCUGUCUGGGAGCCCCCCGCCCCGGGCCCCCCGCCCCCUCCUCUUCUGUGCAGAGAAAGGUAGCCGGGGAGCUGUUGCAUGGCUGGGGUGCCGUCUGCCCUGGCCCCUAUCGUUUCGCCUCUUGGCUUGGGUCCCAGGCCCCACGAUGGGCCGGCGGCUGGCUAAGGCCACAGAUGAGCUGAGUAGCUACACGGUAUGGCUUGGGAGCAUUUCAGCAUGGCGGGAAGGGAGCGUGCUUUGCAGGCGAAUGGCCCCAGCGUCCUGGCCCAGCCCUCUCUCCUUUGAAAUCCAACUGCAUUCUGGCACUUUGCAUUACUUAGGGUAACACGGGCAGCAGUAACAAAGAACCCCUCCGAUGUCGCAGCCUUAGCACUGAUAUUUACGUCCAGUUCAGGACAGUGGGUGACCGUCCUCAGGUGGCGAUUCAGGAGCCCAGGCUCGCCGACCCCUAGGGCCUCGGAGAUCUCCGCGGGGAGGGUGAGCGAAAGCGCAGGUUACAUGAGCCUCAAACGACGCACCUCACUUCUACUCACGUUUCAUUGUCGGGAGGAUGGGGAAACGUAAUCCGAGGGAGAACUUCGUGCUGUGGCCGGGAGGGGGCCAGUGUCGCUGUCACAAUAAUGGGGUAAACUUUCAAAGCUUCGAUUUCCUCGUCUGUAAACAGAGACGUGGAACCAACAGCCGAGAGUUACCAGGAAGACGAGAGCUGAUGUCUGCGAUGCGACUCAGCCAGUGCCUGACGUGGAUCGGGGGCUGUGAUUACAGCCAGAGGGACAGGGGCUGUCUCAUCAGCUGGAGCCGGGGCGAUCGAAGCUCACGCCCACGUGUCCAUCCUGUGCUUCUGCAGAAAGAGGUUUCUUACGUGAGACUGUUAUGCAACGUGCGUGCUGGAUUGUGGUUAAUAUGGGAAUGCUGGUCUCCGUCAUGAUGAUUAUUAGGUAACGUGCAUUACGUACUGUGAUUAUGUUGUAAAUGCAAGUGAACCGCUCACUCUACCAAACGUCCCAUGGACUAAAAUUCCGGGGGCAUCGACCCAAGCUUUGGACUAUUUUCCCAUUGUUUGCUAUCUUUGAAAAGGCCUUUGUUAUCAAAGCGGUAGAGAUCAUUGCAAAAAUUGCCAACACACAGAUGGCUCUAAAGUGGAACUUAAAAGCCUUCUCCCCACACUCGGUGCCCCCUCUCUUACCGUUGUUGGAUAAGCAACUAUCGUUAACGCUUUCGGUAAAUCUUUCCAGAAACACUCUACGUUUAUACACAAGCAUAUUUAAGUCCUCUCCUUUUGCACAAAAGCGAAUCAUGCUAACGUGUUAUUCCACAACUCCUUUUUCUUUUUCUCUGCUUUCGCAUCUGCUCUAACUCAAUAGUAUUCCAUCGUGGAAUGAGCCACAGUUUCUUUAACCAGAGAUGAGAGGUUUAGUGCGAAGUAAAAAGGCACCAAACCCCUCUUUUCUCCGUGUGAGUUGAUGGCUAACUCCCCAAGCUGACCUCCCCACCAGAUUUCAGGUGUCCUGUGAAAUCGCAGUCCCAUCCGGGUGCACCCAGGGUCCGCGUGCCUCCUACCGGGGCAUCCCCUCAACAUCCCAGGAUGUGAAUGGCUGUGGUUCAGAAAACGAGGAUAAGGGCCUGGGGGUGGAGUAAGUUGUCAAAAGUCUUCAGGAACUCCUUCCUUGUGCCCGUAGCCUCUAGCUGGUUCAAAAAGGUAAAACGCUCUUUCUUGUCCCCUCCGGGGCAUGGGGUACGCUUGGUUCAACUUCAGAGAUCUGGGCCCAGAGAUUGGCGAUCCGAAAAGGAAUCCUAUACUGUCGCUCAGGUCAUUUGGAUGAAGACUUCUUAAUGUAGGGAGAAAACCAAGUGGUCCUUGCAACUUCACGGGUUUUCACUGGGCGUUUGGAGAUCUCGCGGGUUCUGUGUUCAGCGAGGCUGUGAAAAUGAUUCUGUGCACACAUCACUUGUCCAAGCCAUGGGAACCCAACCGGCUUCGGCCCUAGGAGAGUAUUUUCCAGUUUUCAAACGUUCGUGUGCCACCUCUGAUUUCCUUGUUUCCAUCUCUGCAGACGGCAAAGCCUUGGAGUCACAGGUUGGGUGUGUUUAUAUUCUUUGGAAUAAACACGUCACAAUAAAUAAACUCCUUUAAAAAAAAAAAGGCGUGAUCGUUGCCCCACCGCACCUUGGCAAUUGCUGCCCAAGUGACUCGUAAAUCUUUUCGAGGGAGAUGUAUUCCUUCGGACAAUUUAGAAGGAGAUUUGUGCUAUAAGAAAACAACCUCUGUUGAUUCUCCUGCAUCAGCACAGGAUGAUAUUUUUGGCCACAGUGAUCCUCAUGGAAUGUUUUUUGCUUUUUCUGGAAAGCAGAUAAAUGCCUCCCUUCCCAAUUACCACUGAGGAUAAGUAGUAAAGAGUCAGGGAGUGUCCAGGGACUCCUGCUCUAGCAGAUGUAGAGAUCUUUUUAUUGCCUUCAGUGCACUGGGCCAGGCUCACAUUAGUCCUAUUUUUAGCCUUUCGGACUGACUUGGUGAAUCUGGCCUCCUUUUCCAACGGAUCGUAUUAACGAACUGCAGAUGGGGCCCUAAUUGAUUCUUUUCUAUCACAAUUAUUUGCAGGCAAAUGUCCUCAAUGUCUCCUUGGUGAAUAGUCACCUAGUUUCUGAAAGCCCUGCUCGGUCUGGGAACAGGUUUUCUCUUUGGCUUGGACACCAGAGGAGAGACUAUCCUAGAAGGAUUCACUGAUGCGCUUGGAUGCAUACACGGCACCUCUGGCGGGCGUGUUGAGGGUCUGGAAUCUCGGCGGUUCUGCGUUCAGUUACACGGAGAUGUUGGCACCUAGCGUCUCGGUGGACCAGGCAAGGGCCGCAUUACUGAAUGACGUUUAGAAGCACUUCCCCCACCGAUUAACACGCUCACGAGCUCCAUUCGUCCAGCAGUCUGCCCCAAGUGAGUCUUCUCCUCCCCGCCACACCUGGAGGUAUCGCUGUAGGUCGAUCCCCGAAGGCAUUUUUAUUUUAUAUCCCACAGACUUUUCCUUAAAAGGCUCUCAAUUUACUCUUUGGAAUUCUGGGACCAGUCUCCUCCGUGUGACCAAACGCUGGCAGCGGGUCGGGGGGUUAGCACUGUGUUCUUUUUCUUUUAAAGUUUAUUUGAGAGCGAGCGAGCAGGGGAGGGGCAGAGGCGGCAGGGGGGGAGGAGAGAGAAUCCCAAGCAGGCUCCACACUGUCAGCGCAGAGCCCGAUGCGGGGCUCGAACCCACGAGCCAUGAGAUCGUGACUUGAGCCGAAACCAAGAGUCGGAUGCUUAACUGACUGAGCCACCCAGGCGCCCCUAGCAUUGUGUUCUAAUAUAAACGGCGGCGUGAGUUUGCACGCACAACCGUGCAAGGUGCUGUCCGUCCACACCGAGGGAAGCCACAGAUGGCACUGACACAGAAUUGCUGCUGAGUCAGGCGGGGCACUUACUCAACCGACUGGUGCAGAGAACCAUAGGGAGUGAUGAAGGACAAAACUUCACCCCUGUUCGUACUCCAAACAAACAUCUGUCUGUUUUCCGGUGAGUUACAAUCGAUCAGUCAGUCAACAAACCAAGAAAUGAUGUCAUGGAUGUUUUCUAAGACGCCAGACGCCGUGUUAAGUGCGUUCCAUCCUGACUCCAUAGCAGCCCCUGUGCAAGAACGUGGUGACUUACACGUUCCCAUAGCAGCCCUAGAAGCUCUGUACUGUUUUCGUCCCCACCUCACAGAUGAGGAGACAGCCUCACAGAAAGCACCGAUCGGGGCUCAUCAAUCAGACAGCCGGAUUUGUCCAGCUCGGUGCUUCAUCCAGGGCACCAGUGUUUCCUCCGUCACACGGAGGGACUUGCUGUCACCCAGGAUGCACAUGGUCACAUCCGUUCCGUGUCGGAUGCUUUCAACCAGGAGACAAUUUAUGUGUUGAUCUAGUUAAACGUAUAAUUUGAAAGCCAAAGCUUCUAUAUAAAACAUCAUAGCCUCAUUUUCAGGUCUGACAACUUUUACUAUAUUAUUAUCUGCCCUUUGGGUUAUUCGAGUGCCUGUCCAUCAUGGAAAUCACAGAGUUACCUUAUUUUAUGUUCAGGCACUGACAUACGACAUGGUUUUAGCUUCAGGUACGCAUAAUGAUUCGAUAUUUGUAUGUAUUGCGAAACGAUCACCGCAAUAAACCUAACUCACAUCUUUCACCACA
This is a long non-coding RNA of Felis catus (domestic cat), 9833 nucleotides long. RefSeq lists it as uncharacterized. The record is from RefSeq and is a predicted model, not a curated record. The transcript has 9 exons. Lineage: Eukaryota; Metazoa; Chordata; Mammalia; Carnivora; Felidae.